UUUAGCUCAUCAGCUAUCAUUAGUGUUAGUGUAUUUUAUGUGUGGCCUAAGACAAUUCCUCUUCUUCCAACGUGGCCCAGGGAAGCCAAAAGAUUGGACAUCCCUAGCCUACAGAAUGUAUGGAACACCAUCAAGCAAACCAGUGUACAUACUGUGGAAGUCCCAGAAGGAGAAGAGAGAGAAAAAGGAAAACAGAAUACUUAAAGAAAUCAUAGCUGAAAGGCAUGAGCCCCCAAAUCCAAAAAGGCACAGUGCAUCCCAAGUAAGAUGAAUUCAAAAACACCCACAUUGACACAUAAUAUAAUCAAACUUUCCUUUUUUUUUCUGACAGACUUUUGCCCUGUUGCCCAGACUGGAGUGAAGUGGCAUGCUCUCAGCUCACUGCAACCUCCUCCUCUUGGAUUCAAGAGAUUCUCUUGCCUCAGCUGCCCAAGUAGCUGGGAUUACAGGUGGAGAAGUUUAAGAAGUGUGGCCAAAUGGAUACAUCAACAGGAAUAGCCAUAAAGAGAAUAUGAAAUGAGGGACGCUUUUUUUUCUUGUGAAGAGGUUUGGACUCCAAAAUCAUUUCCUCGAGUUCAAAGGCUUUGUGUUAGAUGCUGAGAAUACCAUGGUACACACGUCAGACAUGGUCCCUACCCUCAUGAAGCUAAGAGGAAAAUGGUACGUAACCAAGGAUCACACAAAUGCUGGGUAUAAUUUUAAACUGAAAAAUGCUAUGAAGGAAAGAUAGUGUUAUGUGAACUUACACCAAGAAGGUGAUAUUUGAGCUAAGAGCUAAAGCUGUGCUUCCCAAACUAUGCAGAAGGGUCAGUUAUUUUUGUUUGUUUUUGUCUGUUCAAUUUCCAAUCCACUAAAAUCAGUAUGUGGUCUUAUUAUGCAUUGCCAGUAUGCAGCACCCCACAUAGACACCUUGUGACUUGAGUUCAACAACUGUCAAACAAGCUUGGACUCUCUUCAAUAAGACAAGUCCACUGAUCAUGUGUUUAGAUGCUACAGCAGUGUCCAAUUGCUAUAAAAGUUUCUACAUGCUUCUCUCAAGUUCUUUACUUAUAAUAGACCUGCAGAAAAAAUUCAUGGACUAGAACCAGUGAACCAUAUUGAGUAGUACUGCUCUCAAGGAGGAACUAGAGGAACUAGGAUUGGAGGCACUGUUCCAGGAAUAGUGCACACUGGCAUGUGCGAAGGCCCUGUGGUGAGAGGAAGACUGGUAUGUAAAAGUGAAGAAGUGGAAAAGAAAGAAAAGAAGAAGAAAAAGGCCAAAGCAGUUUAUGUGUAGUCAAAGGGGGGAUAAAAGUCCAAAAGUCCAAAACAAGGCUUGAGAGGUAUUUUGAACUUUUGUACCAUAAAAUUAUUUUAAUCUGUAUUCUAAGAACAAGGAAAAUAUCCUGGACUGUGCUUUAACAGACCACUGUGGGACUGAAUGGGGAAUAGAAUGGAGUGGUAAAAGUGUAUGUGGACAAACCCGUUAUAAGGCUAGACUGAUGGCAGUUGGAUCAGGGAAAUAGUAGUGAGGACAGAGAGAAAUGAAAUAUUUUAAUACUUAAAAUAUAAAAUUUCAGAACCUGGUGAUGAAUACGCAGAUGACAAAUGAGUCCUGGUUUCUGGCUGGCAUAAGUGGAUUUGGAUAGAGAAGCCAGUCACUGAGAGAAUUUCCUGAGAAGAUAUUCAGGAAAGACAAAGAUAAAGAAGUCCUUUGAGUUUAAGAUGGCUUUGGGACAUCCAAGGGGAAUCUGAGUUGAGUUAACGAAGCCAUGUAUUUGAAAGCUAACAGCUAGCAAAUACACUCUAGAAAUGUAUAUUAUCAUGACUGUCCCCAAUAUUCUAUACUAACUUCUAAACUUAAACCAGAGAGCCUGCUUCCUUUUAUUACUUCCCUUGGACAUGCAGUCUUCCUUCUUACCUUUUUAAGAAGUGACACCAUUUCCUGUGACCAGGCAGAAGGGUAAGUUACAACAGUCGUCUCAAAAGUGUGUACAAUUUCCUUGCUGGAAGUACUGGAGCGAAUAUGAUAUGGUCUCUUAAGGGAGAAAAGAAGUAAAAGUCUUCAUUUGUAUAGGACAAAAGAAAAAAAAUUUUCCAAAUGUUUCCAAGCUAAACUUCCAACCGAUAAAAUAUCUAUAUCAAUUUCUAACCCUGUCCAGCUGACUCUUGCAUUGCCAUACGUGUAGAUGGUCCUGUGUUGCCAGACCCCCUACUUUUUCUUAAAGAGCCGCUAGAAACUUAUGGUUGCUUGUAAAAUAUCAUAAAUUUUAAAGUUGAACAAUCCACUGAGCCAAACAAAACAUUCAAGUGGGCUGAAUCAGCCUCUGAGAUGCUGAUUUGAAAUUGUUUUAUAAGGUAUUAUAUAAGUAUUAACAUGAAAUACUGGACAAGUCCUCAAUAAAUGGAAGUCUAAAAAAUUAUUAUGUAAGGGUUGAUUGCAAGUAAAUCCAGAAUUUUACCAUACCAUCCCCUUCACUGCAACAUAAUGAGGAAGCUCAGGACAGAAAACUGCUCAGAAAACAUCAACUCCAGUCCCACAAAUGCUAUGAGUCCCUGGUUCCACAGAGUAUGGCAGGGUGGAGAAUUUUGUGAUGAGGCAGAAGCUUUUAAAAAAAUUUUUCAGGGGAAGAACCAGGUUCUUCUACAGUUUUAACUUUGAAGAAAAGCAAUUUAAAAAGAAAAGAAAUUAAACAAAAGAAAACUGUGGAUUAGCUGUAGUUUUCACAGCUUUACACUAGAGGACAGCCUUUAUCUAUAUUAUUUUGUAGGGGACUCACCAACACUGAAAUUUCAUGUCUCUUAUGUGAACUGUAAGCUACUCACAGCCAGAGAUUAUACCAUUCUUGUUCAUGAGACCAAGCAUUCAGUAGGUGCACAGUACAUGCUUAUUUAAUGAACAAAAUUCCCAUAUUCGAUUAACUAGCCACAGCACAGUUAAUAUGGAUAUACACAUUGAUCACAUGUCUGGCCCUUUUAAGAUAUUUAAUAAAUGACUGUUGAUGGAUGACCUAAAUUGGGGGAAAUGAAAGGGUUUAAGUUUUUCCCUGUAGUAAAUCAGUGUUAAGAGGUAAUAUAAAAUAAUCAAGUGUUUGAAGUUAAAAGGAUUUGGUGCUAAACUUCUCCACUCAAUUUCUGAGCUUGUUACUUCAUCUGUAAAAUGAGCUAUCUCAUGAGAUUGCUGGAAAAAUUAAAGGAGGUAAUAUGUGUAAAUUUCUCAACAGAGUGAGUGGCUAAUAGUAUUAGACACAAUAUAAGAGAGAGAUUUUUAUCGUUAUUGACACAAAGGUAAAAAUGGGCAUAUGUAAAUGUGAAUGAAUAGUGAACAGCAAAAUGAGUCCUCAAGAAAAGUGAUGGGAAGAAAAGCUUAAUUUUACACAUGGCAAGUCAAUGUCAGUUAUUCAUGGAACCAUGAAGUGCCAGGAGGUGGCCCUUGAAAGGGAGAUUAAUUCAAACAUUUUUUUCUUUUUAAGUAAGAUCUAAAAACAACUGCCAUAUUUUCCCCCUGAACACUAAAUAAAGGACCAUAGCUAAAUCAUAUGUCCUGGUAAUUAUAUAGUAGAAAUAACUCAUUAACUCAAUAUCAAUAAAGGAGUGCUAGAUGCUUUAUCACCAUUAUCAAUGUUUAUUGAUAAUUUAGUAGCCAAAGGGUUAGGUUACUCCAUAUGAUUCAGACCAUGUUUAUCAUUAAGAAUCAGAUUAGGCUUAGUAUACUCAAGCUUCUAGGCUUAUAUGUGUAUGCACAUGUGUUUUUUAUUUUUUCUAUGUUUCUUCUUGAUUUUAAUUCAUUGCUGCUUCUCAACCUACUGUUUCUGGGCCACCUAGAAAAUAAAAUGAUUUUAUAAACAAAUGAAUUAACUGAUGAAUGCCACAAGCAGCUGGCUUAAGUGUGUACAUUUUUCUCUAGUUACUUUACAAGGCCAUAUGACUGAAUUUAAUUUUUAAAAUCUCCAUGACCUGUUGGUUUAUUAAAAAAUAAAUCACAUUGUCUUUAUCUUAUUUUUUAAUUUACUUUUACAGUUCUAAAUUUUAAAAUUAAUUUGAAUUAAUCAACUACCAGAAUUGUAUAUUUAUGUAUUUACCAAUUAUUUAUUGAAUGCCUGCCAUGUUCCAGCACCUUUCUUAGGCAUUGAGGGUACAAUGAACAACAAGACACAUAUGGUUUCUAUAUUGGUGGGGCUUAGAGUCUACUUAAGGAAGCAUGUAAAUUUAUUAUAUAGACUGUAUACACACACACACACACACACACUUAAAUAAAUGGGAUACAUGCUAUAGAGAAAAAUUACAGUAUGCAGUCACAGUAUAUAUCAUACAAGCCUAAGGCAGCAUCUAAACUAACAGUGAGCAUAUAGAGAAUAAACAAAGUGGAAAAGGUGAAAUGUUAUAUGGGAACAAAUGAUGUGUUGUGAAUAUAGUUGUAUUUCAGAAGUGCAAAGGCAAAAGAAUUGCAGCUAAGCAUGUACAAUGAGUACAAAACUAUGUACACAUCUAUCCUAAGUUAACACUUUUGGAUAAUAUGAAACUAUAAAAGAUGUGGACCUUUGCCUUUGCAACGGCAAUGAGAUAGUAGGGAGUUAGAGAGAUGACAAAGCAGAUUAAUAGUUAAGGGACACAUUCAUUAAGACUGAAACCAAACUCAGAAAUGAUGAGAAUGUUUUCGAGCACAUUUUCUCAUUAAGACAUAUACUUUUCUGUAAAUAAAAAUUUGUACGUAUGGAGGAAAUUGUUUAGCACCCUUCCUCUGUGGUUGAGUUGUAUUGAUGCUUGUAAUUAAAUGUUACUUCCUUUUAUUCAGAUAAGCUAUAUUUUGAAACAUAAUUGCAGGUAGCCUAGUUGGUCAUUUUUUCCUAGAAGGUGUCUAAGUGAUUUGUAGUGAUUUGUUCCUCCAUUCAUUCAAUAACUGUCAGGCCUAUGAGCCCAAGCUAAGCCGUCAUAUCCCCUGUGACCUGCACAUACAUAUCCAGAUGGCUGGUUCCUGCCUUAACUGAUGACAUUACCUUGUGAAAUUCCUUCUCCUGGCUCAUCCUGGCUCAAAAGUUCCCCCGCUGAGCACCUUGUGAUCCUCACCCCUGCCUGCCAGAGAACAAUCCCCCUUUUUCCUUUACCUACCCAAAUCUUAUAAAACGGCCCCACCCCUAUCUCCCUUCGCUGAUUCUCUUUUCGGACUCAGCCCGCCUGCACCCAGGUGAAAUAGCCUUGUUGCUCACACAAAGCCUGUUUGGUGGUCUCUUCACAUGGACGUGAGUGAAAAUAACCAUGUAUUAUAUACCUAUUAAAAGUUAAAUAUUGUGACCAGGUGCGGCGGCUCACGCCUGUAAUCCUACCGCUUUGCAGGGCCAAGGCAGGUGGAUUGCUUGAGCCCAGGAGUUCAAGACCAGCCUGGGCAACAUGGUGUGUCAUAAAAGAUGAGGGCAGAGCACAAUUGCUCUGAACCCCAGAAGCAGCUAGCAAGGGGCUAACACAGAAGCACAGCCACAGAAGGGUCUCACUCCAUUGCCCAAGCUGGAUUGCAGUGAUACAAUCGUGGCUCACUGCAGCCUCGACCUCCCAGACUCAAGUGAUCCUCCAACCUUGCCCUCCCAAGUAGCUGGGACUACAGGUGGGUACCACCAUAUUUGGUAAAAUUUUUGUGCUUUUUGUAGAGACAGAGUCUUGCCAUGUUGCACAGACUGGUCUUGAACUCCUGGGCUUAGGUGAUCCACCUGCUUUGGCCUCCUAAAGUACUGGGAUUACAGGUGUGAGUCACUGCACCCAGCCAACAAGGCAAUCUUUAUAGAGUUAGAAAUUAACAGUGAUAAUCCAUGUCAAAAUCUCAGUAUGGUGCCUAGCACUUAUACAGUGCUCAGAAACAUUGGGUAGGCUUCUAGAGAGGCAAACAUUCAUAAUAAUGGACCUAGUUGAAAGAUAUGUAUGGUUGAUCCCAAGCCUCCUGUAUAAAGUGCUGGUUCUGGGCAAAGGAAACUGGUAUGACAUGGGUCCUGCACACACAGGUUUCCGUACCCAGUGCACUCAUGUUCUUUUUAAGUAAAAUCCUAUGAACAACAUCCAACUAGAGAGGUAGAGUGUUUACAUCCCAAUGCCCAGGACUGGCCCUGACUAUAAGAGCCUGAUGCAGCAGGAAUAAGUAGGGCUAUUUCCCUAGUGCAUUCACCUUUCAUGCAUCACUGCAUCCUUUCUGCAAGUCACAGCCCCCAGUGCAAUUUGGGAGAUAAUGGCCCUGACCCCACACUACUCCCACAGACAGGAUGGACUAUAUUUCUGCUCUCCCUUCUCAGUAUCUCACAACAAGUCCUAUCAGAUAGUCCCCAGGUGACAGGUGACAGACACAUCAUUUAGAGAAGCUACAAAGAACUUGGAGGGGUAAUCAGAGCCACUGUGCUAAGAAAAUGCCUAAUAGAAUAAACAUUACUCUAUAAAAGUUAUGUAUCUGUCAUAUUGGAUUAUCCUUGGGGUUUACAUGAAUAUUCUUUUCACUUUCUUUCUUUCUUCCAGCUUUAUUUAUCCAGUAUUCUUUUAUAUCCUCUCCUACCUGGUCUAUUUUCAGGCAUGAAAACAUUUUAAUACACAUUUAUUCAUUCAGCAAAUAUUCAUGGUAUGCAAGGCACUGAAGCAUUUUGGUGGAACAUUAAGAAGAAACUUUAUGACAACAUACAAAAACAUAACAGAUGAGUAAUUCUUUGAGCCCUCAAAUAGCUGAGAAACCAGAGCAGGAAGAUAUUGAAGGGCUCUCACCAACCCUUCAAGAAGAUUCCCUGCACCUAAGAGAGUACUAAGAGAGUUGGAGAAGGGCUAAAUGUCCUUCAAAAAAGCCACUGAGUAUUUUGUUUGGUAUUGCUCAUUAUGUAUUUCUAUACAUAUAUUCAGAAAAGUAAAUAAAACACCGCAGAAUUAGCAAACAGUUAUAAGCAAAUGUCCACGUAAACAUGACACAGGUCAAGAAAUGGAAUCUUGUCCCCAUCACUGUGUCCUGUUCUGUUCAUAACCCUAGAAGUCACUGUGCUAAAUUUUAUGUUAAUAAUUUUCUUGUUUUUCUAUAUAGAUCAAUCUCUAUGUACAUAUUUUUAGACAAUAGUUUAGCUUUGCCUAUCUUAUAUAGCUCCCAGAAACUGUGGAUAAAUUGGCUAGCUGCCUAUUUAUUUAUUUCAGUGCUUUAUAAUAAAGGAAACACUAACAAAGCAAAAAAAAAAAUCUAUGCCUUGUAUUCUAUUAAAUUCCAU
This is a long non-coding RNA of Pongo pygmaeus (Bornean orangutan), 7196 nucleotides long. RefSeq lists it as uncharacterized. Lineage: Eukaryota; Metazoa; Chordata; Mammalia; Primates; Hominidae. The record is from RefSeq and is a predicted model, not a curated record. The transcript has 6 exons.